ACGCGAAGAACCUUACCUGGACUCGAAAUUUUGUUGACCGUCUCAGAGAUGAGACUUUCCCGCAAGGGACAGCAGAAUAGGUGCUGCAUGGCUGUCGUCAGCUCGUGUCGUGAGAUGUUGGGUUAAGUCCCGCAACGAGCGCAACCCUUACCCUUAGUUGCCCGCCCGCAAGGGAGGCACCCUAAGGGAACUGCCUCGGAUAACGAGGAGGAAGGUGGGGAUGACGUCAAGUCCUCAUGGCCUUUAUGCCCAGGGCUACACACGUGCUACAAUGGCCGGUACAAAACGUCGCAAACCCGCGAGGGGGAGCCAAUCGCCAAAAACCGGUCUCAGUUCGGAUUGCAGGCUGCAACUCGCCUGCAUGAAGCUGGAAUCGCUAGUAAUCGCGUAUCAGAACGACGCGGUGAAUACGUUCCCGGGCCUUGUA
RNAcentral lists this ribosomal RNA (427 nucleotides) under uncultured Acidobacterium sp. RNAcentral describes it as "bacterial SSU rRNA". It matches the Rfam family "Bacterial small subunit ribosomal RNA", at positions 959 to 1385 of the family's 1533-position model. The record is from RNAcentral. Lineage: Bacteria; Pseudomonadati; Acidobacteriota; Terriglobia; Terriglobales; Acidobacteriaceae.